ACGGGGGGUGCAAGCGUUGUUCGGAAUUAUUGGGCGUAAAGAGCGUGUAGGCGGCUGAAUAAGUCAGAUGUGAAAUCCCUGGGCUUAACUCAGGAAGUGCAUUUGAAACUAUUCAGCUCGAGUAGGUGAGAGGAAAGUGGAAUUCCUGGUGUAGAGGUGAAAUUCGUAGAUAUCAGGAGGAACACCGAUGGCGAAGGCAACUAUCUGGGCUUAUACUGACGCUGAGGCGCGAGAGUGUGGGUAUCAAACAG
This 251-nucleotide ribosomal RNA is filed under the name uncultured prokaryote. RNAcentral describes it as "partial 16S rRNA". It matches the Rfam family "Bacterial small subunit ribosomal RNA", at positions 525 to 775 of the family's 1533-position model. The record is from RNAcentral.